Molecule: long non-coding RNA, 860 nt
Organism: Cavia porcellus (domestic guinea pig)
Lineage: Eukaryota; Metazoa; Chordata; Mammalia; Rodentia; Caviidae
Exons: 2
Source: RefSeq, a predicted model, not a curated record
AGGAAGGGAAGGGACCGAGGCUCAGCUAAGGCUCAAAGUGGUUUGUAACAGUGUUCAUCUGGCGCCAGGGAGCACAGUUGGAACUGCUUCUAUGAGUCUUCGUUUCUAAGGCUUCCUGAGAAAGAUAAGAGAAGGCACAGAAAGGGUCAUGACCUGCUAAACAAGUACGUGUGCUUUAAACCAUCAUGGUAUGAUGUCUCAAGGUGGAACUUUCCAUUAAGGAAGUCAUAGUCUAGUGAUGGAAACUGGCAAGAAAAGAAAUCAUUGUAAUAUAAAGCAAUAAGAGCAUGUAUAGAUUGUAUGCACCAAGUGGAGAAGCAGUCUAGAGGAGAUAACUAAACUUUUUUAAAAGGAGGAUUAGAAUGUUGUCAGAUGAGGAUAUAAAAGAAUUUUCUGCCAAGAAGCUGGACAAAACAAGUUGCCAGGAGGACAAAUGGCUCAAAAGGGGAUGAGAAAGUAUCUCCUAUGAAAAUACCUGGACACUCCUUGAACUUCAAAGUGGAAAUGUGCAGCCUUUAGUGUUGUAUCUAAACUGACAUAGUGGAGCCUGCCUGUAAUCUCAGCUCUUAGAGAGGCUGACGCAGAAAGAUUGCAAGUUGGAGCUCAGCCUGGACAACUUAGCAAGACCUUGUUUGAAAGUAAAAAUAAAAAACAAAAAGUGAUCUGGAAAUGUAGCUCAGCAUGAAGGCCUUGGGAUCAAUCCCCAGCACUCCAAGGGGAGAAGAAAAAUAGUAUACCUUUGGUAAAUUGGCUGCAAAUUCUGGAGGACAAGAUGUGCUCACCACAAUGAUGUGUACCUCUUUACAAACCUUUUCUUUGACCAUGCCUACCCUAUUAAAAGGAUUAAAAGUACCAGCCAA